RNAcentral lists this unclassified non-coding RNA (384 nucleotides) under Hevea brasiliensis (rubber tree). The record is from RNAcentral. Lineage: Eukaryota; Viridiplantae; Streptophyta; Magnoliopsida; Malpighiales; Euphorbiaceae.
GCAAAAUAUCAAUACCAGUAUAUUUAAAAUUAGGAAAAAUUCUUAUCAAAAUUUGAUUCAUCGUGAAUCCAAGACAUAGCGUGUAUGGUAGGAUCAACAUGUAAAAUGAAAUUCACAUGUUUACGUCUUAAGUCUUUAAUACACCAGAUCUAAAUAAGUUUUUCGCCAGAAAUCGGUUCUAAUAUUCCAGCUUGGUUACAUUUUCAUUAUGAUCUAGUAGAACAAGUUUCCAGCAUAGGAGUAAGAAAAUUGUAAAUAUCACACAAUGGGCAUCAUUUCUCAAGACAUUGUGGUUUGGCUUAACGGAAAUGUUGAGGAAACUAAUAUAUACAGAUAAGAAAAAUAAAUAAAUAAUAAAUAAUAGUAUUUCUUGGCAGCUGCUCU